RNAcentral lists this ribosomal RNA (161 nucleotides) under uncultured bacterium. Its description in RNAcentral is "partial 16S ribosomal RNA". It matches the Rfam family "Bacterial small subunit ribosomal RNA", at positions 1339 to 1500 of the family's 1533-position model. The record is from RNAcentral.
UAAUCGCGGAUCAGCAUGCCGCGGUGAAUACGUUCCCGGGCCUUGUACACACCGCCGUCACACCAUAGGGGUUGGGAGCGCCCGAAGCCGGUGAGGUAACCGAGAGGAGCCAGCCGUCGAAGGUGAGACCAAUGACUGGGGUGAAGUCGUAACAAGGUAGC